UGGGGAAUUUUGGGCAAUGGGGGAAACCCUGACCCAGCAACGCCGCGUGAAGGAUGAAGUAUUUCGGUAUGUAAACUUCGAAAGAAUAGGAAGAAUAAAUGACGGUACUAUUUAUAAGGUCCGGCUAACUACGUGCCAGCAGCCGCGGUAAUACGUAGGGACCAAGCGUUGUUCGGAUUUACUGGGCGUAAAGGGCGCGUAGGCGGCAUGACAAGUCACUUGUGAAAUCUCUGGGCUUAACCCAGAACGGCCAAGUGAUACUGUCGCGCUAGAGUGCAGAAGGGGCAAUCGGAAUUCUUGGUGUAGCGGUGAAAUGCGUAGAUAUCAAGAGGAACACCUGAGGUGAAGACGGGUUGCUGGGCUGACACUGACGCUGAGGCGCGAAAGCCUGGGGAGCAAACGGGAUUAGAUACCCGAGUAGUCCCUGAGCGGGCUGGCAAGGCGCAU
This 447-nucleotide ribosomal RNA is filed under the name uncultured bacterium. RNAcentral's name for it is "bacterial SSU rRNA". It matches the Rfam family "Bacterial small subunit ribosomal RNA", at positions 355 to 825 of the family's 1533-position model. The record is from RNAcentral.